AAUACCUUUAAUUUAGUCCAGAGAGAUUAGAAAGGUUAAAUAAUCGUAGUAUUUUACUGCUAAAUAGUUGAUAACUAGGGAUAUUAUAACCUUCUGCCGGUCUGCAGAAGGUUUUUUUGU
Non-coding RNA from Clostridium homopropionicum DSM 5847, 120 nucleotides. The record is from Rfam. NCBI's taxonomy places the organism in Bacteria, Bacillati, Bacillota, Clostridia, Eubacteriales, Clostridiaceae.